CUAGAGACCGGCGCACGGGUGCGUAACGCGUAUGCAAUCUACCUUUCACAAAGGGAUAGCCCAGAGAAAUUUGGAUUAAUACCUUAUAGUAUAACGACUUCGCAUGGAGCUGUUAUUAAAGAUUUAUCGGUGAAAGAUGAGCAUGCGUCCCAUUAGCUAGUUGGUAAGGUAACGGCUUACCAAGGCUACGAUGGGUAGGGGUCCUGAGAGGGAGAUCCCCCACACUGGUACUGAGACACGGACCAGACUCCUACGGGAGGCAGCAGUGAGGAAUAUUGGUCAAUGGGCGCAAGCCUGAACCAGCCAUGCCGCGUGCAGGAUGACGGUCCUAUGGAUUGUAAACUGCUUUUGUACAGGAAGAAACACUCCCUCGUGAGGGAGCUUGACGGUACUGUAAGAAUAAGGAUCGGCUAACUCCGUGCCAGCAGCCGCGGUAAUACGGAGGAUCCAAGCGUUAUCCGGAAUCAUUGGGUUUAAAGGGUCCGUAGGCGGCUUAAUAAGUCAGUGGUG
Molecule: ribosomal RNA, 510 nt
Filed under: uncultured Flavobacteriaceae bacterium
Lineage: Bacteria; Pseudomonadati; Bacteroidota; Flavobacteriia; Flavobacteriales; Flavobacteriaceae
Description: bacterial SSU rRNA
Rfam family: Bacterial small subunit ribosomal RNA
Source: RNAcentral